RNAcentral lists this long non-coding RNA (2776 nucleotides) under Homo sapiens (human). RNAcentral describes it as "HSALNT0324668". Lineage: Eukaryota; Metazoa; Chordata; Mammalia; Primates; Hominidae. The record is from RNAcentral.
GGUGUUGAGCCUGGCGCCCCGCCUGACCACUUCCAAGAUCUGGGCUGGCCUCUGUGCAGAGGAAGCUGAGACCACUCUUCGCCCGCCACGGGGACCCUGAUGACGCACCCCAGGCCACCAGGCCACUGCCUUCACGGAAGUGGCCCUCGGACACGUGGAGGUACCCGAGGCCUGGGUUGGAGCUGCAUCUUUCGGUGCAGGCCUCUGCGUCUCCUGGAAGUGGGCACCUGGAGCCAGGGGACUGCUGGGAUCCGGGUCCAGUCCCCUGGCAAGGCCGGGGGCUCGCAGAGGGAGCCACGCACUGUCUGGUGGUAGCUCCUCCGUCCGCAGUCGUUGGUGCUUGAUGUCUGAAUCGACAGAUUCAUGGAGCAAAAUGGUGAUUUUCCAGUGCGUGGUGGCUUCGUCAUGAAUUCACUGGAGGGAGAGGCUCAUCUUGUCCGUCUGGCCAUCUGGAUAAUGGUGCCCACAGGAAAGGCAGGGCAAGGGUGCCUCUCCCUCAUUUGUCAGUUUCCACAACGGUGAAUUGGUUCCCGACAAUCUCCCAAGUAUAUUUGUACAUCGCUGAUGAAACACAUUGGUGGGUCUCAGUCGAUCACCAUUAGUGCCCUUUCCAAGCAUCGGUGUCCAGCUUUGCCCAGGGGGCCUCUUCAAAUGCAAUCUCGCAUCCUUAUGAUGUGAGCCUGGUCAUCUGCGAUGGCCUCUUGGCCGUGUGCAGGGCACAGCCAGGGGAACCCUGGGAUUUAGUGCGAAAGUGUAGCCGAUGGUGGUUACAUUCUGUGUGUAGAUUCUCGAAACAGUCCCUGCUGCCUGCCACCCUGGGGUGGAGUUUCUAAUGGAUUAGGACGGACACCCAAUGCCAGCUUCCAAGCCAGGAGGCCGCUCGUGCCCACGGCUUGGAAUCAGGGCUGUGGCCUGGGAGGGCUCUCACCAGACGCAGGCUGCCUCCAGGUAUCUGUGUGCCUCUGCCCACGGAGCUUCUCCCCAGGUCCGCGGGUCCCCCCAGUCCACUUCUGCUUUCCUGUUAGGGUGGGGGGCUCAUCUCCUGGUGCGCCAUCUGCAUCCUUCUGGGCUGGGAACCUGCUGUCGGGUAUCAGGCAGGGCGCACCUCCAGGGCUGAAGGAUGCAGGUGGGGCUGGCAGGCAGAGUGUCCGUGGAGAGCUCCGUGUCCAGGGAAGGGGACACCUGGAGGAGGCCGGCCCUGGAGGCCCCACACUCCUUCUCACCAGAAAGCCACCCGCCUUCUGCCUGGCAGGGCCGGGCACCCACCCAGGUUCUUGCCUGUUGGCCCAGCACCCAUGCGUGGUGAGCCUCUCCUGGCAGGGUGGGGUAUGUGGACAUCAGUGGAGGAAGCAGAGUCUCCGGCCACCUGUGGGACCCACACUCUCCCUGCCCAGGAGUCCCACCAGGGCCGAGAAUUCUGCCCAUGGCCAGGGUGGCCCUAAAGCCCCACAUCCGCCACCACCUGUGGGGGCUCGAAGGGAGCUGUGGUAGGCAGGGAUGACAGAAGACCCCAGCCACAGCCCCAGGCCCAUGGCUGCAUCUCCCCUGAAGAAGCAGCCCUGUCCCAAGGGUUCUGCAAACAAUGCCAGGCUCUUCCCAGGCAGGCACCGCAAGCUGCCCCCCGCCCCGAUCCCUGGCUUGCCCAGGGCGGGGCCUCUGGGCCUGGUGGAUGGUGGGCCUGGCCUGGCGCUGGGGAGCCUGUCUGCACAGUGGCCAGGUACGUGGGGUUCUGAGCCUCCCCCGGGUCCUGUGCCUGCUGGGCAGGGGUACAUCCCAUGGAGCUGAAUCUGGGAAUAGAAGGGGCCUCCCCUCCCACAGAGCUCGUCUCAGACCAUCUGUGUCUGAGACUGUAAGUGACGCCAACAGAAGGUCAAGCUUGAGCGACAAAGCUCUCAGUCCUGUAAUUCACGGACACUGAGUCUUCGCUCAAGUUCCCUCUGGAAGAUUCCGUGGAUGAGUCCGACACACUCUUCCCCUCACUCAGGAGGCUCCAGGAUUUUUAGACCACGUGUGUGGCUUUCCUUCUCUCAAAGUGUAACUCACAUAAUGUUACUCAGAAUCUCACACGGACGCCCGUGAGUUGCAGACACAGGGAAGGUUCGCAUCUCCUCUGAAGUCCAAGCUGCCCAGAAGCCCACCCACCCCCCGCCAGCUCUCGUUCCUGCUCCACAGGUGACUUCUUUCCCGUGAAGCUUGGGCAAAUGUUUGCUGUCGGCUCAGGGGGAAAGGCCAUGCCAGGGUCCAGAUGGGCUCAAAACCUCCCAACCUGGCAGACACGCAGCCCUUCAGAAAUGGAAGCAGAGCCCAGGACACGAUGUGGCCAAUCCUCUCUCAGACGUCAUAAAGAGCUGGGUUUGGAAGACGAGGCCAACCCUCAUGGAUGCCGCCCCCGACCCCAGCAACACCAUGAGAUCAGGGAUUUGCUGGCUCUGUCUCAGAGCCGCGGAGGGUCCUGCUCAAACCCCAGAGCCGUGGGGAUGGGCUGGGGGGCUGGUGGGGAGCGUACUGCGAGGGGCCACUGAGCAGGCUGGGGUGAGCUGGGCCUGGCCUGCGGGGGUGGGGGUGCAGCCUUCGCUGGGGAGGCAGCCAGGGAAGGGGUUCCUACCAGCCCGAGAUGGAGCAACGAAGCAACUAGUGAAGCCAAGUUUGCAAAAUUAUCACCGUUGGUGGAAGGGUUCCGACCUGACUCCAUCUUGGUUCUGACCUCCAAGCUGUCCUUGUUCCUUCCUGGGCGUAGGCUGAACUAACUUUGGGAGGAACUUAGUUUAUAGUUAAA